RNA transcript from Medicago truncatula (barrel medic), 3759 nucleotides. It is a transcript of the gene named autophagy-related protein 18f, with no coding region annotated. NCBI's taxonomy places the organism in Eukaryota, Viridiplantae, Streptophyta, Magnoliopsida, Fabales, Fabaceae. The record is from RefSeq and is a predicted model, not a curated record. The transcript is spliced from 8 exons.
UUAAUUUUUUCAAAAAAAAAAAAAAAGUUUUUGAGACGUAAACGAAGACUCUUAUUAUUUUCCUUCGUUAUCCAUUUACCAAUUCUAAUCUCUUUCUUUCUCUCUCUAACUUAUUCUCUCUCCUCAGAUCUUCUUCUACCUGUUUCUUUCUCUGGUGAUUUUUGGUUUCGACCCAUUUCCUCAAUCUUCUCGAUUGUUUCAUUUCUGAUUCGUAUAUACGUUUUCAUUUCAUAAAGUUUUCAUUUUUAUUGUUUUUGUGAUUAGUUUAAUCAUUGUUGUUUAAUUUUAAUUUGUGAUUAUUAGUAUCAAAUUAUUGUUUAUAUUUUAGAGAAAAACGUGAAGGAAAAAAAAUAUUGGUUGGUGAUUGAUUGAAGAAAAUUGAAAGAAAAAAAAAAUCCCCCUUUUUUGUCGUUUGGUGGUUUUUUUUGUUGUUUGUUUGUGGUUCCAAACAAAAACUGUGAAAAAAAGGGAAGAAAUUUGAUCUGGGUUUGUUGUGAUUUUUGUGGUGGUGAUUGAAAUUUGGAAGCUUUAGGGUGAAGGGAAAGAAUUUGUGAUUGAAAUUUGGAAACUUUUUGUGGUUGUUGUUGAUGGUGGAAGAGGGUGAAAUUGUGGUGGUGGAUUGAAAGGGAAGAGAAUUUUGGGGGGUUAUGAUUGAAUUUGAAGGUGAAUUUGAAGAAUCAUUGAAAUUUGUGUUGUGGUUUGGUGAUAUUUUGGUUUGCUUGGGUGAUGGGGAUGAGAAAUGAUGGACAAAAACAACAGCUUCUUCAACAAGGUGGUGUUGGUAUUGGAGUUGUUGGUGGUGGAAGAACCAAUGGUUUCUUACCUACCUCGUUUCGUGCUAUCUCGAGUUACUUGAGGAUUGUUUCAUCCGGUGCUUCUACUGUUGCGCGCUCUGCUGCAUCGGUUGCUUCAUCGAUUGUGGAUAGGGAUGAUGUUGCUGAUCAUGAUCAGGUAAUUUGGGCUGGUUUUGAUAAGUUGGAGGGUGAGGGCGAUAUCGUUCAACAAGUACUUCUUCUAGGUUAUCGGUCUGGCUUCCAGGUUUGGCAUGUUGAUGAAUCAAAUAAUGUCCGCGACGUGGUUUCCAAACACGACGGCCCUGUUUCUUUUAUGCAAAUGGUUCCAAAUCCAAUUGCAUCAAAAAAAUCAGAAGACAAGUUUGCAAGCAGCCGCCCUUUGUUGGUAGUUUGUGCCGAUGGAUUCUUCGGAGGAGGAAGCAAUAUUAAGGAUGGGUUGACUGGUUCCCCCAAUGGAACCGCUUCAAACUCCCAUGAUCAAAUGAAUGGCAACUACAUGCCAACUACUGUUCAGUUUUAUUCUAUGAAAUCUCAUUCAUAUGUUCAUGUAAUGAAGUUUAGAUCUGUUGUUUAUUCUGUACGGUGCAGUUCUCGAAUAAUUGCUGUUUCUCAAUCCACUCAGAUACAUUGUUUUAAUGCUACCACAUUAGAAAGGGAAUAUACUUUACUUACCAAUCCAAUAGCCUUGAGUUGUCCUGGUUCUGGAGGCAUAGGCUAUGGACCACUUGCGGUGGGUCCAAGAUGGCUGGCUUAUAGUGGAAGUCCAGUUGCGGUCUCCACUUCCAGCCAUGUUAGUCCGCAGCAUUUGACGCCUUCUGCAAGCUUUCCUGGUUUUUCUUCAAAUAGUAGCUUGAUUGCACACUAUGCUAAAGAAUCAAGCAAGCAUCUUGCUACCGGGAUUGUGACUCUUGGGGAUAUGGGAUAUAAAAAACUUUCCAGAUAUUGCUCUGAUAACAUUGGUUCAGUACAAUCUGUAAAUUCUGGAUCAAAGGUCAACGGAAGCAUUAAUGGCCAUUCAGCAGAUUUAGAUAACGUUGGAAUGGUCAUUGUUAAAGAUAUUGUCACCAAAAACGUAGUUGCCCAAUUCCGGGCCCACAAAAGUCCAAUUUCAGCCUUAUGCUUUGAUCCUAGUGGUACCAUAUUAGUGACCGCUUCUGUUCAGGGUCAUAACAUAAAUGUUUUUAAGAUAAUGCCUCUGCGAGAGAAUUCGUCAGCAUCUGAUGCCGGUCCUUCCCACGUUCAUUUAUACAGGUUGCAACGUGGUUUUACAAAUGCGGUUAUACAAGAUAUCAGUUUCAGUGACGACAGCAAGUGGAUUAUGAUUAGUUCUUCUAGAGGCACUAACCAUCUCUUUGCCAUAAAUCCUCAAGGAGGAUAUGUAAAUAUUCAGUCUAAUGAUGAUAAUUUUAAUACAAAAACUAAUGGAUUAAGCACUGCGACUAAUCAAUCAGUCCGCCGGGCUUCUAUAUUGGCUGUACAAAUGCCUAAACAGCAGAGCCUGUAUGUAGGUGGCCCUCCGAUCACACUUUCUGUAGUAAGCAGAAUUAGGAAUGGAAACAAUGGUUGGAGAGGUACUGUCAGUGGUGCUGCUGCAGCUGCAACUGGUAGGAAGAGUCCCCUUUAUGGUGCUAUUGCUUCGUCUUUCCGUAACUGUAAAGGAAGUGGAGCUGUCUAUGGUGAUGGGAACAAUUCUAAGGCAAAUCAUCACUUGUUGGUCUUUUCACCUAGUGGAUCGAUGAUACAAUAUGCUCUUCGGACAAUAACUGGUCAAGAUUCAGCUGUUGUUUCUGGAUUAUCCCCUGCUCAUGAAUCCACUCCACAGGCCGAAGCAAGAUUAGUAGUUGAGGCCAUGCAUAAAUGGAAUAUAUGUCACAGUCAUAGUCGUAGAGAGCGAGAAGAUAAUGUUGAUAUAUAUGGCGAAAAUGGAAUCGCAGACAGCAACAAGAUAUAUCCUGAAGUUGUAGAUGAGGACAUCAUUAUCCCGAAAAUGAGAAACGGUGUCACAAAAGUGAAUCCAUGUCUCAAGGAAGAGCAUCAUUUGUAUAUUUCAGAAGCUGAACUACAAAUGCAUCAAACUCAGAUUCCGUUGUGGGUGAAGCCAGAGAUAUAUUUCAAUCCAAUGUUGAAAGAGUCUACUAUAAUGGAUGAAGAAGAUGCUUCCGGAGGAGAAUUUGAGAUUGAAAGGAUUCCAACUUGCAUGAUUGAAGCUAGACCAAAAGACUUGGUUCCAAUUUUCAACUAUAUGCAGGCCCCAAAAUUACAACAAACAAGGGCUCCUGCUAUGGACAGAAAGAUUAAUGAACAAGUGUUACAUCACCGUUCUGAGUCGUAUGGAAAUGGCAGGAUCUCACCAAGGAGUGUUUCGGAAACUCCCGAGUACAUGAAUAAUUAUGGUGGUGAAGUUAUUACUGAACAUGAAAAUCACAUAGAAGGAACUGAGUGGGGUAAUCAUGUUAUGCCAUCAGAAACUACUGGUUUUGUAAAUAACAAUGACAAUCUUAAACCAAAUACUCAGCAUGAGAUUGUAAAUAAUAGAAAAGAGCACUUAAACAUGGGGGCUCAGCUCAUGCUUGUAAAUAGCGACAAAAGGCCUGAAAAUGAGGAACAUCUUGAAGAAAAUGAAGAUGAAUUUGAUUGAAGGUAAUCUCUCAGGAACAUCUUGAAGAAAAUUAAGAUGAAUUUGAUUGAAGGCAUGGAAAUAUUCUUUCAUUUGGCACUAGAGGCUUAAUUAACACUGUUUAUAUGAUGGUUGAAGAGGUAGAGAAGCUUGAGGAGUAGUAGCUUGAUGACUACUAUGCAAAGUUGUGGAUACUGCUUUGAGUUUCCUUUUCUGCUUGACAUUGUAAAUGACAGACAAAUGAUGUAUAUCAAUAAUUAAUUAGUUUUCAAUUUGUAAAUAAUAGAAUCAUCUCUUCUUUGUAUUUUUUUUCUUUUUAUUCUAUUAAUUAAAUUGAUUUCCCUAUCA